GUGUGAUUUGUAGCAAGUAAUGACUCACCUCACUUAAAAAUCAGAUCGACGCACGCAGAGUUGAACUGGCAGCAAGCGUGGGAGCGGAGGAAGCAGCUAGGCUACAUGCACGCCAUUGGGAAAUUAUUGAUAAACUCCGGCAGAGUAUCUUGGCCCGGAAAAUAACGAAGCUGGAAAGAGACGCGGAGGACUACGCGCACGAGAGAAUGUACACGUGGCGACUAGACAGAGAGAGGCAGCGGUCAGAGGAGGGAUCUCCAAGAACCAGACUGCCAGGCCACAGAUCACAAAGACGCCCUUGGGGAAAUAGACGCAACUUCAACUGGCACACGCACCGGGGAAGGGGGCGCAGAAAGGCCCAGAGAACAGAACAAUUCCAGGCUUCCGAUCAUCAGGGACAGUUACCCCCAUAUACUGUAAUCUCAGCUACUUUGCGCAGAUGAAGUUACUUUACAGGCACUAACUUGUACUGUAAUA
Molecule: long non-coding RNA, 477 nt
Organism: Xenopus laevis (African clawed frog)
Lineage: Eukaryota; Metazoa; Chordata; Amphibia; Anura; Pipidae
Exons: 2
Source: RefSeq, a predicted model, not a curated record